RNAcentral lists this unclassified non-coding RNA (323 nucleotides) under soil metagenome. RNAcentral describes it as "partial contains 5.8S ribosomal RNA, internal transcribed spacer 2, and large subunit ribosomal RNA". The stretch from base 1 to 120 matches the Rfam family "5.8S ribosomal RNA", at positions 35 to 154 of the family's 154-position model. The record is from RNAcentral.
GAUGAAGAACGUAGUGAAAUGCGAUAAGUAAUGCGAAUUGCAGAAUUCAGUGAGUCAUCGAAUCUUUGAACGCACAUUGCGCCCUGUGGUAUUCCGCAGGGCAUGCCUGUUCGAGCGUCAUUUCAACCCUCAAGCCUCGCUUGGUGUUGGGCCCUGCCCGCCGCGGCCGGCCCUAAAGAUAGUGGCGGCGCCGCCUGGCCCUCAGCGUAGUACAGCUCUCGCUCCAGGGUCCGGCGGCAGCCUGCCAGAACCCCCCAACUCUGUGGUUGACCUCGGAUCAGGUAGGGAUACCCGCUGAACUUAAGCAUAUCAAAAGCGGAGGA